AGAGUUUGAUCCUGGGUCAGAAGGAAUGCUAGCUACAUGCAUAACACAUGCAAGUCGAACGUUGUUCUCGGGGAGCUGGGCAGAAGGAAAAGAGGCUCCUAGCUAAAGGUAGCUUGGCUCGCCCAGGAGGUGAUAAGAGUUGAGAACAAAGUGGCAAACGGGCGCGUAACGCGUGGGAAUCUGCCGAACUGUUCAGGCAAAAUCCUGAAGAAAGCUAAAAAGGUUGUUUGAUGAGCCUGCUUAGUAUUAGGUAGUUGGUCAGGUAAAGGCUCACCAAGCCAAUGACGCUUCGCUGGCCUUUGUGGAUGAUCAGCCACACUGGGACUGAGACACGGCCUUGACUCCCACGGGGGGCAGUAGUGGGGGGAAUCUGGGACAAUGGGUGACAGACCUAUCAAGCAAUAUCGCGUGAGUUAAAAAGGGCAAUGCCUCUUGUAAAUCUCUUUCGUCGAGUGCGCGAUCAUGACAGUACUCAAGGAAGAAGCCCCGGCUAACUCCGUGCCAGCAGCCGCGAUAAGACAGGAGGGGGGUGGGGGCAAGUGUUCUUCGGAAUGACUGGGCGUAAAAGGCACGUAGCGGUGAAUAUGUGCUUCAUGGCUAUCGUCAACUCGUGUCGGGAGAUGUUUGGUCAUGUCCUACAAUGAGCGAAACCCUCGUUUUGUGAUGUUGAGAUAUGCGCCCACGGAGAAAGUCUUUGCAACCAAAGUGAGCCGAGGAGCCGAGUGACGUGCCAGUGCUACUAAUUGAGUGCCAGCACCUAGUUGUGCUGUCAGUAAGAAGGUAGCCGGCGCCUUUCGAAGAACAUUCUAUUUCUAGUUAGCGCUGUUUUUUGAUUGCAAGUAGCGUGCUUGACUAAUAAGAUAGAAAGGGCCUUUCUCACUUGUUUAGUAAAGUCAAGUUUUUUGGCCUUAUCUUGCAGGUGAUGACUACGUCGAGUUGACGGCAGAGAAAGACUCGGCAUUCAGUAGAGACACCCGGUAUUGUGGUACGUAGUGGGUUUAGUACGCCCCUCCCAAACAAACGGAUUUGAAACAAACAAAAAGGUGUGUGCUGCACUAACGAAGGACUGCCAGUGAUAUACUGAAGGACGGUGGGGAUGACGUCAAGUGUGCAUGGACCUUAUGGGCUGGGCCACACACGUGUUACAUUGGCAAUUACAAUGGGAAGCAAGGUUGUAAGGCGGAGCAAAUCCGGAAAUAUUGCUUCAGUUAGGAUUGUUCUCUGCAACUCGGGAACAUGAAGUUUGAAUUGCUAGUAAUUGCGGAUCAGCAUGCCGCGGUGAAUAUGUGCCAGGGCCCUGUACACACUGCCUAUCACACCCUGGGAAUUGGUUUUGUCCGAAGCAUCGGACCAAUGAUCACCCAUGAUUUCUGUGGCACGCUAGUGCCACAAAGGCCUUUGGUAGUCUUAUUGGCGCAUACCAUGGUGGGGUCUUCGACUGGGGUGAAGUCAUAACAAGGUAGCCGUAGGGGAACCUGUGGAUG
RNAcentral lists this ribosomal RNA (1484 nucleotides) under Solanum pennellii. RNAcentral describes it as "bacterial SSU rRNA". It matches the Rfam family "Bacterial small subunit ribosomal RNA". Lineage: Eukaryota; Viridiplantae; Streptophyta; Magnoliopsida; Solanales; Solanaceae. The record is from RNAcentral.